This 253-nucleotide ribosomal RNA is filed under the name uncultured bacterium. Its description in RNAcentral is "partial 16S ribosomal RNA". It matches the Rfam family "Bacterial small subunit ribosomal RNA", at positions 524 to 776 of the family's 1533-position model. The record is from RNAcentral.
UACGAGUGCCCCGAGCGUUAUCCGGAAUCAUUGGGCGUAAAGCGCACGUAGGCGGCCUCGCAAGUUGGAUGUGAAAUCCCUCGGCUCAACCGAGGACGUGCAUCCAAAACUGCGGGGCUUGAGUACUGAAGAGGAUCGCGGAAUUCCCGGUGUAGAGGUGAAAUUCGUAGAUAUCGGGAGGAACACCGGUGGCGAAGGCGGCGAUCUGGGUAGAUACUGACGCUGAGGUGCGAAAGCGUGGGGAGCAAACAGG